Molecule: transfer RNA, 74 nt
Filed under: bacterium
Lineage: Bacteria
Also listed under: 1 other name
Description: tRNA-Asp
Rfam family: tRNA
About the family: Transfer RNA (tRNA) molecules are approximately 80 nucleotides in length. Their secondary structure includes four short double-helical elements and three loops (D, anti-codon, and T loops).
Source: RNAcentral
GGGGACGUAGUGUAGAGGCCUAACAUACUUGCCUGUCACGCAAGAGAUCGCGAGUUCGAAUCUCGUCGUCCCCG